This 995-nucleotide ribosomal RNA is filed under the name uncultured bacterium. RNAcentral's name for it is "bacterial SSU rRNA". It matches the Rfam family "Bacterial small subunit ribosomal RNA", at positions 355 to 1375 of the family's 1533-position model. The record is from RNAcentral.
UGGGGAAUAUUGCACAAUGGGGGAAACCCUGAUGCAGCGACGCCGCGUGGAGGAAGAAGGUCUUCGGAUUGUAAACUCCUGUUGUUGAGGAAGAUAAUGACGGUACUCAACAAGGAAGUGACGGCUAACUACGUGCCAGCAGCCGCGGUAAAACGUAGGUCACAAGCGUUGUCCGGAAUUACUGGGUGUAAAGGGAGCGCAGGCGGGAAGACAAGUUGGAAGUGAAAUCUAUGGGCUCAACCCAUAAACUGCUUUCAAAACUGUUUUUCUUGAGUAGUGCAGAGGUAGGCGGAAUUCCCGGUGUAGCGGUGGAAUGCGUAGAUAUCGGGAGGAACACCAGUGGCGAAGGCGGCCUACUGGGCACCAACUGACGCUGAGGCUCGAAAGUGUGGGUAGCAAACAGGAUUAGAUACCCUGGUAGUCCACACCGUAAACGAUGAUUACUAGGUGUUGGAGGAUUGACCCCUUCAGUGCCGCAGUUAACACAAUAAGUAAUCCACCUGGGGAGUACGACCGCAAGGUUGAAACUCAAAGGAAUUGACGGGGGCCCGCACAAGCAGUGGAGUAUGUGGUUUAAUUCGACGCAACGCGAAGAACCUUACCAAGUCUUGACAUCCCUUGACAGGCAUAGAAAUAUGUUUUCUCUUCGGAGCAAGGAGACAGGUGGUGCAUGGUUGUCGUCAGCUCGUGUCGUGAGAUGUUGGGUUAAGUCCCGCAACGAGCGCAACCCUUAUGGUCAGUUACUACGCAAGAGGACUCUGGCCAGACUGCCGUUGACAAAACGGAGGAAGGUGGGGAUGACGUCAAAUCAUCAUGCCCUUUAUGACUUGGGCUACACACGUACUACAAUGGCGUUAAACAAAGAGAAGCAAGACCGCGAGGUGGAGCAAAACUCAGAAACAACGUCCCAGUUCGGACUGCAGGCUGCAACUCGCCUGCACGAAGUCGGAAUUGCUAGUAAUCGUGGAUCAGCAUGCCACGGUGAAUACGUUCCC